This 387-nucleotide ribosomal RNA is filed under the name uncultured bacterium. RNAcentral's name for it is "bacterial SSU rRNA". It matches the Rfam family "Bacterial small subunit ribosomal RNA", at positions 28 to 417 of the family's 1533-position model. The record is from RNAcentral.
GACGAACGCUGGCGGCGUGCUUAACACAUGCAAGUCGAGCGGGUAAGGCCCUUCGGGGUACACGAGCGGCGAACGGGUGAGUAACACGUGGGUGACCUGCCUCUAGCUCUGGGAUAAGCCUGGGAAACUGGGUCUAAUACCGGAUAUGACUCCACGGCGCAUGUUGUGGGGUGGAAAGCCUUGUGUGGCUAGAGAUGGGCCCGCGGCCUAUCAGCUUGUUGGUGGGGUGAUGGCCUACCAAGGCGACGACGGGUAGCCGGCCUGAGAGGGCGACCGGCCACACUGGGACUGAGACACGGCCCAGACUCCUACGGGAGGCAGCAGUGGGGAAUCUUGCGCAAUGGGCGAAAGCCUGACGCAGCGACGCCGCGUGAGGGAUGACGGCCU